AAUUACAACUUAUCAGGAACAAAUAGUGCCAUUGAUUGUGUAACAGUAAGUAUUAAACUUAUAAGGACAUACACACACACUAAGUCUCUUUGUUUUUACAUGAUUUAGAAUCAAUGGCAAAAAAAGGGGAGGGGGAAAUAAUGCAACAAAACCCCAGAUGUUAACACAGAAAUGCUUUGUUUUUUUAAAUCUAUGACACACUGGAAAUAAAAGAUACAAGGCAUCAAUAGAAAACCUACAUUAUACACACACCAAAGUCUCAAUGUGGAACACAUUGUACACACCACAGACUCUCUAAAAGGCAGUAAAAACUAGUUCCAGAUUUGAAACACUUUCUAUAUUUAUAGAAGAGACACCCCCCCCCCCC
Molecule: non-coding RNA, 367 nt
Organism: Biomphalaria pfeifferi
Lineage: Eukaryota; Metazoa; Mollusca; Gastropoda; Planorbidae
Source: the annotation of a GenBank genome assembly